RNAcentral lists this ribosomal RNA (202 nucleotides) under Escherichia coli. RNAcentral's name for it is "partial 16S ribosomal RNA". It matches the Rfam family "Bacterial small subunit ribosomal RNA", at positions 1 to 210 of the family's 1533-position model. The record is from RNAcentral. Lineage: Bacteria; Pseudomonadati; Pseudomonadota; Gammaproteobacteria; Enterobacterales; Enterobacteriaceae.
AAAUUGAAGAGUUUGAUCAUGGCUCAGAUUGAACGCUGGCGGCAGGCCUAACACAUGCAAGUCGAACGGUAACAGGAAGCAGCUUGCUGCUUCGCUGGCGAGUGGCGGACGGGUGAGUAAUGUCUGGGAAACUGCCUGAUGGAGGGGGAUAACUACUGGAAACGGUAGCUAAUACCGCAUAACGUCGCAAGACCAAAGAGGG